AAAAGCUGAGGGUGCGACGGCAUCCGCGGAUGUAGGCGAGCCAGCUCGGAGAGGAUGGAUGCUGACGGGCGGGAAACCGAGAUAUUGGCGCCCCCGCUUGCCGCACUGGCACGGUCGCCAUCGUCAGCCCUGACGUUUUCGCCGCUGCAGCGAGAACCGAGGGCCGCAAGUUGAAGAAUCUUGGGGAAACAGCCAUUACGAGUGAGAGCCAAAGCAGCACAGACAUAAGGCGAGCCAUGCGGCGCGUCGCUUCGCUUUAUCGGCGCCCCGCCGACAACUUCAGGCGGGCAGCGGUUACGACGUGUCAACACCGAACGGAGGAGACCAUUAAGCGCGGCGCCCUCGUCGUACGAGGCGAAGGCGAGCGGGCGAACUCGGCCGGGGUCAGCCAUAUACACGGGAUACAGCGCGCUCACGCUCGCCGCGUCAAAAAAAAAAAAAAAAAAGAUGGCUGCGCCCUCCUCGGAAAAGCGCGCACUCGGAGCAGCGGGAGCGAGCUGCUUUUCGCAGCUGCCGCGAUGCACGACGAGGAAGCAGACUGCGGGAGCGAAGGUCAGGGUCCGAACAGCGCUGUGCCGCCGCCGCUGCUGCGGCAGCAGCGUCAACGCACGCCUCCGACCGCGAUGACAUCGUCCGCCGGCGGGUCGACAGCGAAUGCGACGUUCUGGGUGUGUUGCAGAGAGGGACGAUGCAAAACGCUUCCUUUUGGCCCGCGGGAUCAAAAAACAAGCAGCGCAGAGAUGGAACGUGGACAGAAAAAUAGUGCAAGCAGGCACGAAUAAAAAGGGAGUCGCGCUGACGUCCCACCGCACGGGCUAUAUCAUGCAGUGUGAAAGAGCGAGUGAGUUGAGGAGACGGCGUGGUGCGGAUGUGUGAGGGUGACGCGCAUUAUCCAUAGCAGGGCCGCGCCACGCUCGGAUUUUUAGACAGAAUUCCUUCGCGAUUAUUUUACUGGCCUCGACGGAAUCUGAGGAACCCGAGAUGGCGGCUCGGGACGGUCGGGCGAACCGGAGCGCUCUGGCGCAGCGGCACCGCGUUCGCUGUUUGUGUUCCGCGCGCCGGCGGGGUUCACUGGCCCCGUGCAAAUCGACGACACGGACGCCUUAUCUCCCGUGCACGUGAGCGUCCUGGGAGUUUUUCGGAGGAGCGCAGUAUAGUGGACGUCGGCCCGGCACGCAGACUCAAGACAGAAGCCCGCGUGCAUGCUGAUCCUUUCUCCUCUCACUCUUUCUCACUGUCGCCCACUUUUCCUCACUUCAGCCUGCACUCUCUGUCCUGAACCUCGCGCUUCUGCCCUCCGUCUCCUUUCUCACUGCCCGGCGGAUCCUUCCCCGCGGAGCACAGAACCCCUGAAGAACUGGAAGGAUUGCUGCCCUCCGGAGACCCGGUCGUGCAGACCAUGGCUAGUGACCGGGUAGCCAGCGUUAUGGGCCUAAGGGACAUAAGACUGAGACACACUAUGU
Long non-coding RNA from Dermacentor albipictus, 1463 nucleotides. RefSeq lists it as uncharacterized. The record is from RefSeq and is a predicted model, not a curated record. NCBI's taxonomy places the organism in Eukaryota, Metazoa, Arthropoda, Arachnida, Ixodida, Ixodidae.